GACGAACGUUGGCGGCGUGCUUAACACAUGCAAGUCGAACGGAAAGGCCCUGCUUUUGUGGGGUGCUCGAGUGGCGAACGGGUGAGUAACACGUGAGUAACCUGCCCUUGACUUUGGGAUAACUUCAGGAAACUGGGGCUAAUACCGGAUAGGAGCUCCUGCUGCAUGGUGGGGGUUGGAAAGUUUCGGCGGUUGGGGAUGGACUCGCGGCUUAUCAGCUUGUUGGUGGGGUAGUGGCUUACCAAGGCUUUGACGGGUAGCCGGCCUGAGAGGGUGACCGGCCACAUUGGGACUGAGAUACGGCCCAGACUCCUACGGGGGGCAGCAGUGGGGAAUAUUGCACAAUGGGCGGAAGCCUGAUGCAGCAACGCCGCGUGCGGGAUGACGGCCUUCGGGUUGUAAACCGCUUUCGCCUGUGACGAAGCGUGAGUGACGGUAAUGGGUAAAGAAGCACCGGCUAACUACGUG
RNAcentral lists this ribosomal RNA (468 nucleotides) under uncultured bacterium. Its description in RNAcentral is "partial 16S ribosomal RNA". It matches the Rfam family "Bacterial small subunit ribosomal RNA", at positions 28 to 507 of the family's 1533-position model. The record is from RNAcentral.